This 468-nucleotide ribosomal RNA is filed under the name uncultured bacterium. RNAcentral describes it as "partial 16S ribosomal RNA". It matches the Rfam family "Bacterial small subunit ribosomal RNA", at positions 28 to 507 of the family's 1533-position model. The record is from RNAcentral.
GACGAACGCUGGCGGCGUGCUUAACACAUGCAAGUCGAACGGAAAGGCCCUGCUUUUGUGGGGUGCUCGAGUGGCGAACGGGUGAGUAACACGUGAGUAUCCUGCCCUUGACUUUGGGAUAACUUCAGGAAAAUGGGGCUAAUACCGGAUAGGAGCUCCUGCUGCAUGGUGGGGGUUGGAAAGUUUCGGCGGUUGGGGAUGGACUCGCGGCUUAUCAGCUUGUUGGUGGGGUAGUGGCUUACCAAGGCUUUGACGGGUAGCCGGCCUGAGAGGGUGACCGGCCACAUUGGGACUGAGGUACGGCCCAGACUCCUACGGGAGGCAGCAGUGGGGAAUAUUGCACAAUGGGCGGAAGCCUGAUGCAGCAACGCCGCGUGCGGGAUGACGGCCUUCGGGUUGUAAACCGCUUUCGCCGGUGACGAAGCGUGAGUGACGGUAAUGGGUAAAGAAGCACCGGCUAACUACGUG